This 497-nucleotide ribosomal RNA is filed under the name uncultured bacterium. RNAcentral describes it as "partial 16S ribosomal RNA". It matches the Rfam family "Bacterial small subunit ribosomal RNA", at positions 28 to 507 of the family's 1533-position model. The record is from RNAcentral.
GAUGAACGCUGGCGGCGUGCCUAAUACAUGCAAGUCGAGCGAACGGACGAGAAGCUUGCUUCUCUGAUGUUAGCGGCGGACGGGUGAGUAACACGUGGAUAACCUACCUAUAAGACUGGGAUAACUUCGUGAAACCGGAGCUAAUACCGGAUAAUAUUUUGAACCGCAUGGUUCAAAGGUAAAAGACGGUCUUGCUGUCACUUAUAGAUGGAUCCGCGCUGCAUUAGCUAGUUGGUAAGGUAACGGCUUACCAAGGCAUCGAUGCAUAGCCGACCUGAGAGGGUGAUCGGCCACACUGGAACUGAGACACGGUCCAGACUCCUACGGGAGGCAGCAGUAGGGAAUCUUCCGCAAUGGGCGAAAGCCUGACGGAGCAACGCCGCGUGAGUGAUGAAGGUCUUCGGAUCGUAAAACUCUGUUAUUAGGGAAGAACAUAUGUGUAAGUAACUGUGCACAUCUUGACGGUACCUAAUCAGAAAGCCACGGCUAACUACGUG